This 1859-nucleotide small RNA is filed under the name Arabidopsis thaliana (thale cress). RNAcentral's name for it is "ATSL186580". The record is from RNAcentral. Lineage: Eukaryota; Viridiplantae; Streptophyta; Magnoliopsida; Brassicales; Brassicaceae.
AUUAAUAUGUAAGAAAGUAAUUGAACUUAUCUUUUAUGAGGGAGGUCGUCGAGACAGAAUUGGAGAUCGCAUCAUUGAUGAAUGAGUGGAAACCUUGAGCGAUUGCUAGUGAUGAUCCAUUGUCACUUGUUGGUGUAAUGUAUUUCCUUUUGCUGAUUUAUAGAAGAACUGAUAACUUCCGUUUGAACCGUUAAACUAUUGAUCCCACCGUUGAAUCUUUAGCUGAUAGUCCCACGAAGAUUUUGUCCGAAUUUUAGUCAGAUCAGAUAUUGCCUGAGGCUUCUACCGUCUUAUGAAGUUGCUGUGACAAAGUGAAUAUUUCUUCCUUUGCUAUAUUUGUUUUUUGGUUUCGGUUGCUCUGGUAGCAACAUACGAUCCUCAGUGAAUAUAGGAGGCAGUAUCCAGUGAUGCUUACUCUUUGGCUGACUUCUGGUGAUCUUUCUUUACUUCUCUUUCCUUUGAAUUUUCAUUACACGACAUGUUUUUGUGAGAUCUGAACAACGUUUUGUGAUUAAGAUAAAGCAGAAGCUCUCCAAGGCGAGGAAGGGACAAUUUUUCUUAGAUAUAUGUUAAGACGAGCCGAUUGUAGAUGAAAGACGAGCUUGAGGCCGGAAGACGAUCUUGAUGUCCGAGUAAGAAUAGAGUUUAUUCGUCUUAUAGCUGAACCUUGUAAAAGGUUGCCUACGUACCCUUAGAAAGGGAUCAAGCCACACGUAGUUCAUAUCGUGAUAAACAAGCUAGGCCAUUACUGGAGGAAGGUCGUAUGGUAGGUGACGAGCCGGCAGAUGUGCGACGAGCUGGAUGAACCGUGGUAGAGGCGAAUUGGACAAACCGAGUUCUGCUGAAGGUUUAGACUAGCUGGCGACGAGAUAGGUGGACUAUGCAGCCAAUGGACGAACUGCCGCUAGGCGAGGAGGUAGAUGAGUUUUGCAGUCGAGGGAUGAGUUGAUAGCUAGACGAGUUGGACGAGCUGAAUAGCUGACAGCUAGGCGAGGAGAUGGUCGUUGAGUAUGGGAAGAGCUUGAAGACGAGCUGAGGAGCUUGGAGACGAUCUGAUGAACUUGAGUACGAGCUAAGGAGCUUGAAGAGCUUAAAGGCGAGCUGAAUAGCUAAGACGAGCUACUUGAGAAGGGCGAGCUACUUGAGAAGGAUGAGCUGACGAGCUUCGUGAGACGGACGAGAUGACGAGCUUUGUGAGACGGGCGAGCUGACAUUGUGUCUCUGCGUGUCAGGCGGCAUUCCCCCCUUUUGACAUGACACGAUAUUCUGAGUCUUCUGAGUCGCUCUAGAUCACUGGGAAAUUGAGCUUGAGUUCGGCUGGUCGGAUAGAGACGAAUCUCGGAUCGAGGCGAGGUCGAUGGUAACUCCUUAAUAGACAUCUCGGAUCGAGGCGAGGUCGGCUUCUUUAGAAAGCUGACUCGGGGCGAUCUGUAGAUAGGUAUAUCAUUGCCUAGUUCAUCAGGAUUUUCAAGGAAAACGAUUCCGAAGCUGACUGGUUUUAUAGAGCUGGGUCCUAUGACUGGCUGCACUUGCUUGAGGUAAACGUUUAUAUCUCUCAGCAUAUAUCUUCGAUUAAGGCGAGGUCAACUUCUCUGAAAGGAAGAUUCUCUGGGCGAUCCGUAGAUGUAUUAAACCUUACGAGAUUCCUUGUGAUUUGUCGGGAAAUCGGCCCCGUGGUGAGCUGGAUUAUUCAGACGGAUUCGUUAAGAAACAGACAGCAUCGACUUCAGAAAAACGGUGAUAACUCUGAGCAGAGGUAUCCGAUGGAGUUACGGUUAGAUUCCCUGGAACGCUGAUCUCCGGGGCAAUCCGUGGAAUGGUUGUACGUCAUCUGGUUCAUUGUAUCUUGACGGGAAAUC